Molecule: ribosomal RNA, 761 nt
Filed under: Prevotella melaninogenica
Lineage: Bacteria; Pseudomonadati; Bacteroidota; Bacteroidia; Bacteroidales; Prevotellaceae
Description: bacterial SSU rRNA
Rfam family: Bacterial small subunit ribosomal RNA
Source: RNAcentral
GAUGAACGCUAGCUACAGGCUUAACACAUGCAAGUCGAGGGGAAACGGCAUUUAGUGCUUGCACUGAAUGGACGUCGACCGGCGCACGGGUGAGUAACGCGUAUCCAACCUUCCCAUUACUGUGGGAUAACCUGCCGAAAGGCAGACUAAUACCGCAUAGUCUUCGAUGACGGCAUCAGAUUUGAAGUAAAGAUUUAUCGGUAAUGGAUGGGGAUGCGUCUGAUUAGCUUGUUGGCGGGGUAACGGCCCACCAAGGCAACGAUCAGUAGGGGUCCUGAGAGGAAGGUCCCCCACAUUGGAACUGAGACACGGUCCAAACUCCUACGGGAGGCAGCAGUGAGGAAUAUUGGUCAAUGGACGAGAGUCUGAACCAGCCAAGUAGCGUGCAGGAUGACGGCCCUAUGGGUUGUAAACUGCUUUUGUAUGGGGAUAAAGUCAAUCACGUGUGAUUGUUUGCAGGUACCAUACGAAUAAGGACCGGCUAAUUCCGUGCCAGCAGCCGCGGUAAUACGGAAGGUCCGGGCGUUAUCCGGAUUUAUUGGGUUUAAAGGGAGCGUAGGCCGGAGAUUAAGUGUGUUGUGAAAUGUAGACGCUCAACGUCUGACUUGCAGCGCAUACUGGUUUCCUUGAGUACGCACAACGUUGGCGGAAUUCGUCGUGUAGCGGUGAAAUGCUUAGAUAUGACGAAGAACUCCGAUUGCGAAGGCAGCUGACGGGAGCGCAACUGACGCUUAAGCUCGAAGGUGCGGGUAUCGAACAGG